RNAcentral lists this ribosomal RNA (1466 nucleotides) under Neisseria gonorrhoeae. Its description in RNAcentral is "bacterial SSU rRNA". It matches the Rfam family "Bacterial small subunit ribosomal RNA". Lineage: Bacteria; Pseudomonadati; Pseudomonadota; Betaproteobacteria; Neisseriales; Neisseriaceae. The record is from RNAcentral.
AUUGAACGCUGGCGGCAUGCUUUACACAUGCAAGUCGGACGGCAGCACAGGGAAGCUUGCUUCUCGGGUGGCGAGUGGCGAACGGGUGAGUAACAUAUCGGAACGUACCGGGUAGCGGGGGAUAACUGAUCGAAAGAUCAGCUAAUACCGCAUACGUCUUGAGAGGGAAAGCAGGGGACCUUCGGGCCUUGCGCUAUCCGAGCGGCCGAUAUCUGAUUAGCUGGUUGGCGGGGUAAAGGCCCACCAAGGCGACGAUCAGUAGCGGGUCUGAGAGGAUGAUCCGCCACACUGGGACUGAGACACGGCCCAGACUCCUACGGGAGGCAGCAGUGGGGAAUUUUGGACAAUGGGCGCAAGCCUGAUCCAGCCAUGCCGCGUGUCUGAAGAAGGCCUUCGGGUUGUAAAGGACUUUUGUCAGGGAAGAAAAGGCCGUUGCCAAUAUCGGCGGCCGAUGACGGUACCUGAAGAAUAAGCACCGGCUAACUACGUGCCAGCAGCCGCGGUAAUACGUAGGGUGCGAGCGUUAAUCGGAAUUACUGGGCGUAAAGCGGGCGCAGACGGUUACUUAAGCAGGAUGUGAAAUCCCCGGGCUCAACCCGGGAACUGCGUUCUGAACUGGGUGACUCGAGUGUGUCAGAGGGAGGUGGAAUUCCACGUGUAGCAGUGAAAUGCGUAGAGAUGUGGAGGAAUACCGAUGGCGAAGGCAGCCUCCUGGGAUAACACUGACGUUCAUGUCCGAAAGCGUGGGUAGCAAACAGGAUUAGAUACCCUGGUAGUCCACGCCCUAAACGAUGUCAAUUAGCUGUUGGGCAACUUGAUUGCUUGGUAGCGUAGCUAACGCGUGAAAUUGACCGCCUGGGGAGUACGGUCGCAAGAUUAAAACUCAAAGGAAUUGACGGGGACCCGCACAAGCGGUGGAUGAUGUGGAUUAAUUCGAUGCAACGCGAAGAACCUUACCUGGUUUUGACAUGUGCGGAAUCCUCCGGAGACGGAGGAGUGCCUUCGGGAGCCGUAACACAGGUGCUGCAUGGCUGUCGUCAGCUCGUGUCGUGAGAUGUUGGGUUAAGUCCCGCAACGAGCGCAACCCUUGUCAUUAGUUGCCAUCAUUCGGUUGGGCACUCUAAUGAGACUGCCGGUGACAAGCCGGAGGAAGGUGGGGAUGACGUCAAGUCCUCAUGGCCCUUAUGACCAGGGCUUCACACGUCAUACAAUGGUCGGUACAGAGGGUAGCCAAGCCGCGAGGCGGAGCCAAUCUCACAAAACCGAUCGUAGUCCGGAUUGCACUCUGCAACUCGAGUGCAUGAAGUCGGAAUCGCUAGUAAUCGCAGGUCAGCAUACUGCGGUGAAUACGUUCCCGGGUCUUGUACACACCGCCCGUCACACCAUGGGAGUGGGGGAUACCAGAAGUAGGUAGGGUAACCGCAAGGAGCCCGCUUACCACGGUAUGCUUCAUGACUGGGGUGAAG